Molecule: ribosomal RNA, 492 nt
Filed under: uncultured bacterium
Lineage: Bacteria
Description: partial 16S ribosomal RNA
Rfam family: Bacterial small subunit ribosomal RNA
Source: RNAcentral
AGUGAACGCUGGCGGUAGGCCUAACACAUGCAAGUCGAACGGCAGCACAGUAAGAGCUUGCUCUUACGGGUGGCGAGUGGCGGACGGGUGAGGAAUACAUCGGAAUCUACUUUUUCGUGGGGGAUAACGUAGGGAAACUUACGCUAAUACCGCAUACGACCUACGGGUGAAAGCAGGGGAUCUUCGGACCUUGCGCGAUUGAAUGAGCCGAUGUCGGAUUAGCUAGUUGGCGGGGUAAAGGCCCACCAAGGCGACGAUCCGUAGCUGGUCUGAGAGGAUGAUCAGCCACACUGGAACUGAGACACGGUCCAGACUCCUACGGGGGGCAGCAGUGGGGAAUAUUGGACAAUGGGCGCAAGCCUGAUCCAGCCAUACCGCGUGGGUGAAGAAGGCCUUCGGGUUGUAAAGCCCUUCUGUUGGGAAAGAAAAGCAGCAGGUUAAUACCCCGCUGUUCUGACGGUACCCAAAGAAUAAGCACCGGCUAACUUCGUG